AACAUGUUUACUUCUUUCAUUGUUGCAUGUGCUUGGAGGUUUACUCGCGACAGAGGAUCUAAACUGGUUAGAAAGAUCACAAGGAUCUUUACUCAAAAGUUCAAUGCUCCUUACUAUAAAUGGUCCUCUGUGCCAUUGGCUAAAAGAGAGAGACUGUUUUUAGAGUUCGCGGUAAGCUUCCUGACUCUUUGCUUUGUUCAGUCUUUGUUUUAUUGUCUGCUCAAGUUCAGUUCACUAACUUCUUCUUUUUUUG
Molecule: small RNA, 253 nt
Filed under: Arabidopsis thaliana (thale cress)
Lineage: Eukaryota; Viridiplantae; Streptophyta; Magnoliopsida; Brassicales; Brassicaceae
Description: ATSL264500
Source: RNAcentral